RNAcentral lists this long non-coding RNA (957 nucleotides) under Cricetulus griseus (Chinese hamster). RNAcentral describes it as "lncRNA (ENSCGRG00015034787.1)". Lineage: Eukaryota; Metazoa; Chordata; Mammalia; Rodentia; Cricetidae. The record is from RNAcentral.
UGAAGGCAGACCUCAAAGGACGAAGGAGCUCUUACCCUGGCUAGCCUUCUUUCUCCCUGGUAAACUCUGAGCAGCUUCACAUUGGCUCCAUGGCCGUCGACAAGCCUUCCGGUUCCCCCAAGCAACUGCAGUGAGGCUUUGAAAUAAAGGGGAAAACAGAGAGACAACAUCCAGUGCUGGUGGCAGACAGCAACUUUACCUCUUCGUUCUUCACAAAGACUGAAGCCACUUUUCAGGACCCCGAAGAGCUAGGAUUAGAAUUACAGGUGUCUGCUCUUUCCCCAAUCUGUGGCAUGCUGGGGGGCAAAACAGCACCUCGUGCUGCCAGAGAAGCAGCCAGCCUAGUGCUGAGCUUCGUCCUCAGCUCCUACACAAGGUCUUCAAAGGCCACCGCAGAACAGAACAGAGGGCAGCAGAGACGGGCCUGGAAGAGAGCCCUGAAAGAAAGUCCCCACCAGAGGGGGCUUUUGCCUAUGUGUGUGCCUGUGCUCUUCCUGGAUGCCUGGUAUCUGAGGAGUCUAGAAGAGUGCAUCAGUUUCCCUGGAACUGAAGCUACAGACGGUUGUGAACCUCCAUGUGAGUGCUGAGAAUCUAAUCCUGAUCCUGUAGAGAAGUGCUCUUAACGGUUGAGCUAUUUCUCCAGAUACUGAUUUCAAAUUAUUGAUCCUCCUGCCUCAACUUCCUGAAUGCUGAGAUUACAAGCAUGAGACGUCAUAUCUAGCUCUCAAACAUUGCUUUUGUUUGAUACUGAUUUUGUCUUCUGGUAUAAAUGAGAUGGCUAUACAAAUAUACUUCUGAGCAUUUUUCUGAAAUCUAGACUGGUAUAUGGACUCAGAAGGUUCUAGUCUUUGCCAGAGAUAGAUGGUAACAGCAAUUCCUCCCCCCAAAUUUUUCCUUAUAAACUACACUAUCAUUUUAGUUAGCCCCCUCCCUUUGCUGCUCCAUGUCAAAGAUUAA